UCUUGAACGUGGAACUCCAAGGUGAAGUCAUCAACCGAAGGCAAGAUGUCCUGGAUCUGCAUAGGGAACUGCAGGCCAUCUUGUGACCUCAGGACAUGCUCAGGGACAAUCACAAUGACUGUGUUCUCCAGGGUUAGUUGCAGCGCUGUUUCUGGGGCCAGGAUGAAGACGCCCUCUUCCAGGCUCAGCCUCACUUCUGUCCCUUGUUCCAGGACUAUUGUGAGCUCCUCAGUGCCAGAAUCCAGCUGCUCCUGUGGAAAGACAGUCCUCAGUAUUCUGCCCUCCAAAAAGGCUGCAAAUGAUGAUCAUGGGGAGGAAGAUGCCAGGAGCUUCACCCUUUACAACUUUAAAAUACAAACUCCCUCCCAGAAUUGGCUCUCAUGCUGACCCACCUAAAUGUACAUCUGCUGGAUAUCACUCGAGCCUGAAGACUGUGCAGCACUGUCCAAUCUUUGCCAUGCAAGGACAUAGGAACUUACCUGGGGAGGUUCCAGGGACUGGCAUGAAUUCAGGUGUGGAGCUCCUGAAAUUGAGAGUAUUUUUGCACCUGUAGAGAGACCACAGUGAGGGAGGCUAAGGCUCUUUUCCAGCAAGAGUCUCCUGGAUUUCAGAAUGUGACCUUCAGAAAUCCACAACCCAGCACUGGCUAGCCUCAGGACACCAGCCCCCAACAAUCGAGCAUUGCUUGCCACUCAUCCUGCAGAAAACCCCCUACUCCAUUUAUGUCAUGAGCCAUGACACUGACCUCCAGGCAUGGGGAUCUUAAGAAAUAUUAGGGAACGUGCCUUACCUGUACAGGGACCCUGCUCCACUUGGCGGCGUUUGGGUGGAUUCAUUUGUGUGGUAGCCAAACUGCAGGACAGAAAGGGACCCAUCAGUCUUCCACAUAGUGACACAAAGUCUAAUUCUCACAAGCCCCAAACUUCAUUAGCCACCUGGCACACAUUGUUGCUGUGGCCCAAAAUCACAUGCACUUGUGUUCAGCUCCAAAUCCUAUGUGCAUCCAGAAAGUCCUAACACUCAUCUCCCACCCUCUCCUUUUCUAGAGGCUUUUCCUGUUGGUGCAUGUUUGUGAUGAGAGAUGGUGAUCACAGGAAACAGUUUGCUUUUUCAGGAGCUCAUCCACAUGAGAAGGAGGGACAUCUAAUUUGGCCUGACGACUUUAGGAGAAGAUGCUGAUUUUUCAGAAAAAUAUCCAGGAGACUCUGCAGGGAAUCUCCCAUCUCAGCAGUUAGGACGGCGGACAGGAAGUUUUCCUCACGAUGGACAUUGCCUAAGUUGCCCCAAAGCCAGGGCGGCACCUCCUCCCUGACCAGAGGAAAGGAAGCUGAGGUACUUCCUGGAGACCCCGCCCCGCCUCCGCAGGCAGAAAGCGCAUGCGCCCCGCAGGGCGGAAGGCGUGUUCCCGCGCCCUCUGCCGGCCAUGGUGUUGCAGCGCAGGUGGCUUGGCCUUGACUGCUUAGCGGUGGGCCUAAGUCUCUGAAUGGCUGAAAUUCUGGUUUAGAUUAUUCAGUAUGUUUCUUUUGGAAGGUCAAAUGAAAAUAGAGCACGGUAUCAUUUGCUUUGAUGGAAGAUAAUUGAAAUAAAGAAGCAACGUCAAAGGACCAUAUACAAAAGGCGAUUGAUUCCCUGUAUGUGGAUGGAAGAGGAGCUUGAAUAAUAGAAGGGUGCUGUGAUAGUUUAAUGCUGGAAACCUGCCACUAUGCAUUUGUCAAAUCCCAUACAAUUUUACCGCAUAAAUAGUACAUCUUAAUGUGGCUCAGGACUACAGCUUAUGUCAUAUACGAUUUGGGGGAAAAUUAUGUAUUUAAUUAAAUAGUUUAAACUGUGAACAAUAAGGUGGGCCCUGCCUGGACCAGAUUGCCUGCCAAGCAGAUUGCCACAGGCUUGGUGUCUCCUCAUCCUCACACAGUACUUGACAAAAACCCUGGCUUCAGUGUAGAAUCACGUAUGGAGAAUAUUUAGUUUUAUGAUGUAGCACUUUCACCCAUGAAUUAGCCCAUUUAAUUGACUUCAUUAAGGUCCAUGGUUUCAGGAUUUUGCAGUUUGCUAAAAGCUCAAUGUCAUCCCAAUUUAUUUCCUGGGACCAUUUCUCCUUGAAGUUUACAUUCAAUACUGAGGUUUGCUGAAAGCCAAUGCAUUUCCAAGUUCUAGAGUCAAAUCAGAGGACGCCUGUUUGGUCAGAAGUUUUAUUUUGCUUGCAGAAAAGUACAUUGAAUCAAACAUAAGAAGGGUUUGUAUGGUGGCUGAGAGGUUAAGGUGCUUUACCUGCUAGGCCACAGUAAGGGGAGCACAACUGUGUCCUCUGUGUCAUAACUCAGGACUCACAUGAAUAAAACGUGGAAUGUCAGGAGAUGAACUUCUACUCCCAUUUAGGGGAGCUUCAAGGAGAAUGUCCCAAGGGCUUUCUGAGGGAAAGAAGAGCAGGGAUGCCUAAUUCUCUGGCCCCAGGGAGUUGUUCAUGGGCAGAGACAAGGGCUGGGGUAAUUCAAUGGUUUAUACUGGGUGUUUUUGAUACUGCCCCCAUUUCCCUGCUAAAUCUGUGUAAUGGAUCACCGAGAAACCUGGCACGUGGGGCUGAAGAUCCGUGUUGUGUCAACUCCAGGGAGGGAUCCAGAUAAGUGGUUUUGGUGAAAGCUGGAAUGAAGGGAGUUUGGCUGUGGAAAGAAAAAAAGGCUGUUGAAGAUGGGGAAAUGGGAACAGAAGGUUGAAAUCUCUAUUCACAUGCCAAGGAUAGCUUAUGCAAAUCUAUGUGCCAGACCUGCAUAAACAAAACUACAACUUUAACAACUAUUAGAUUUUUCAGCAACAGGUUUUAAUGUUUCAAUAUUUGCAAGUAUUUUUCUAUUAAAAAUAAUAAAGUUGUUUACAUAAUUUUGUAUUCAAAAUUCCCAGGUCACAUAACUAUUAUACAUUUCACAUUUUAAUGAAUAGACACAUUCUCUAAAUUAUGAAUUAUUUGCUCAAUUGUAUGUUAGUUUUCUUUUUUUAUUCUCCACGACUCAGUGUUCUGACCUGAAAUCUGCAGUAUUUGGUAAUCCACAAGAUGAUCGGUUGUCCUUGUGAAGACUUUCCUUUCCUAUUUCCUUCUCAAGAAGGUAUUUUUUACUGAUUUUUUUCUAACAUACAAAGGGUGGCACCCGGCUGAAUGUUGGUUCACAGUGAAUAGAGACCAAGGUUUCUCUCGAUUGGAGUCCCAAAUUCCUUACAGAGCUAAGAAUUCUCUACCCUGCAAAUCCUGUGUGUUUUAAGUUAGAGCUUUUGCAAAAUACUUAUUAUAUUGACAGUUUUCAUUCUCAUGUCAUUUAUAUUCAGACAAGUCUUUGCUACGUAGAUGGCAUACAUAUAGCUUCUCUUCUAUAUAAAUUCACUCAUGUAGACUGAGGAAUAAGGAUAACGGAAUGAUAUUCUACAUUGGUUACCAUGUUUAUUCAAUGUGUGAGCCCUCUGGUGUGUUUAGUUGUUAAAUAGAUGGCCAACGUCUCUUCACAUUCAUUCCAUUUAUAGUAUCAUGUCAUCUAAGGGCAGAAUAUUUUCAGAUGAUAUUAAUUUUCUCCCUAGUAUAAGGAUAGUACAUCGACUGAAGGAUGUAACCCAUAGACAACAUCCUUAAAGUUUCUUUCCAUUGUUACUUUUCUCAUGUCUAAUGGCAGAACAUUGACUGAAGGAAAACUCAGUGGAGAGAACUCACUGGAGACAAACCACAUAUAUAUAUAUAUAUAUAUGAAUAAUCAAAACUAUUAAAGUGACAAACAGAACGGUGAUUUCUACAGGACUAUGGGAGGAAGAGGAGAUUGAAUAAGCCAAAAUAUUUGAUGUGAUACUUUAAUUAUAGAUAUCUGGUACUCUUCAUUUGUCAAAUCCCACACAAUUUACAGUACAAUAGUGAGUAUUAAUAAAUACAAGCUUGAAAAUGUUUUGGAGGUAAGGAGAUCCAAGGAUGGAAUGAAGAUAUUACCAAAACAUUAAUUUUGUUAAAAAAUAUGGAACCAACAGACUGCAGGUGGUUGGUGGGAAAGGGAUUGGUCAAAAUGUCUUUGGAAUGAGUAAAAUCUUUAAAACCAGAAGCAAAAGGAAAAAAUAGUAUGCUCUGUUUGAUAAAGUUCUUUCCUAUGGGAAUACUAGUUAAUAAUUCUGAAACCACUAUAUAUGUACACUGGAAUUGAGUAAAUCAUAAAAAAGCAUGGCAGAUAGUAAGGCCCAGAUAUCUCACUGCCUUUGGGAAUUUACAGAUAAAGUUAAAGUACAGAUAGGCAAUUAAAAAAAGACUAGAAUAGUGUGGGUAGUAAUGAAUUAGAGCUGGAUGCACCACGAUGAACUGAUGUUUAGCGUGGUACACAUGCAGAUAUUACUAUUAAGCAAAUGUCUGCAGUUAGGUUCAUAUACUGAACUUACUCCACAUACAUAUAUUCUCUUACAUGAUCAAUUUAGAGAGCUGGGAAACAGCAAUGUGCAAUUUAAUUCCAUAAUCUGUGUUUUUUAAUACCAGUAUCUAAGAGAAUGAAACAGGGCUCUUUGGAGAAAUAGCUGAUAUUAGAACUGGUGCAAAAAAUGCACAAAAACAUCCUGCAGAAUCUAAAUUUUCAAAAAGGAUGUAGUGCAAAAACAAAAAACUAAGACGGGAUUCUGAUAAAAGGAAAGCAGGCACAAAAAAAUAGACCUACCAAUGGCUGAUGUUAGAAUAUUUUAAGCAAAACAAACUGGAAUUUGAUUAUAACUUAAUCUCCAAAAGAAAUAUACAUGAGUUGAUACUUAGAUGAAUAAAUUAUUGAACACAAAAUGAAUAGGAAAAGAUAAUUUCUCAUGCAGAAAAAUUCCAAAUAAUUGCUUUAAGUACUCAGCCAUCAAGGAGAUGAAUCACAAGUUCCAGUUCCUUAUCUUUGAGCUGCACAUAGUGAUUUUCUUUUGAAGAAUAGAGUCAAUACAGACAGGAGAAAAUGACUAAAUUCACAGUGGAGAAAUAUCACUAACACUACAUCAGGCAGUCAUUUUUUGUUCAUAUCAAUAGUUAUAAGUCAUCUUGAGCACAUGUAUGCUUUCAGGUGAACUGAGGAAAUUAAUUUAUCUCUGUGAUUUUCCUCUUAAAAAUGCAAACUCCCUAAUUAAAAAGAUAUCAGAUGAACUUGACUGGAAAACCUCAAAACUAUAGAGUUCAUCAAAAACAAGAAAAGUCUGAGAAAAUGUCACAGUCAAGAAAAGCAUGAAGAGUCAUGAGGAUUAAAUGUGAUGUAACAUGCUGAAUGAAAUUCUGGAACAAUGAAGGUUAACCCAGUGCGAUCUGAGUAAAAACUGAAUUUUAGUUCACAGUAAUAAAUCAAUAUUUGUACAUAAAUUUUGACAAAUACGUCACAGUAAUGUAUAAUAGUAAUGAAACAGAAAGUAGAGUAUGGAGUUUAUGGGAAGUCUUUGCAUAAUGUUCACAAAUUUUCUGCUAAUUAUUCUAAAUAUGAUUGUUAUAAAAUAAAAAUGUGUAUUAAAACAUAAUUAUAUUUUUGUCCCUGAUUGCA
Molecule: non-coding RNA, 5507 nt
Organism: Chlorocebus sabaeus (green monkey)
Lineage: Eukaryota; Metazoa; Chordata; Mammalia; Primates; Cercopithecidae
Source: RefSeq, a predicted model, not a curated record